RNAcentral lists this ribosomal RNA (249 nucleotides) under Salmonella enterica. Its description in RNAcentral is "partial 16S ribosomal RNA". It matches the Rfam family "Bacterial small subunit ribosomal RNA", at positions 1 to 246 of the family's 1533-position model. The record is from RNAcentral. Lineage: Bacteria; Pseudomonadati; Pseudomonadota; Gammaproteobacteria; Enterobacterales; Enterobacteriaceae.
AAAUUGAAGAGUUUGAUCAUGGCUCAGAUUGAACGCUGGCGGCAGGCCUAACACAUGCAAGUCGAACGGUAACAGGAAGCAGCUUGCUGCUUUGCUGACGAGUGGCGGACGGGUGAGUAAUGUCUGGGAAACUUCCUGAUGGAGGGGGAUAACUACUGGAAACGGUGGCUAAUACCGCAUAACGUCGCAAGACCAAAGAGGGGGACCUUCGGGCCUCUUGCCAUCAGAUGUGCCCAGAUGGGAUUAGCU